AAUGAUAUAGAGACACGAUUUACUCGGAUUGGCCGCGUUGAUGAUCGACCUCUAGCUGAGACUAGUGAUAAGGUUCAAAUGACCUAGAACUACUCUCUCAAAUAAGAGAUCAACUGCAGUAUUUUAGGAUCGAAUUCACAGAGUUCUUUUGUUCAAACAAUGAGUUAAAUGUCGAGAUUAACACCGUCGAUCCAGAUCCAGUGUCGAUCGACACUAGAGGGGUAUCGGUCGACACCGUCGUAUUGAGUCGUCUCUGAGAAAAGGGUCCCGUAUGGUGUCGAUCGACACUGGAGGGUGUCGGUCGACACCAUCUCUGCAACUGCGAGCUCAACUCGUCUUCAGUGUCCAAUUCCUCCCACACAUCAUCUCAUACUCUGAUCAAGAUGGCAUUACAACUCUUCCUUGGGUUAGC
RNAcentral lists this small RNA (412 nucleotides) under Arabidopsis thaliana (thale cress). Its description in RNAcentral is "ATSL205090". The record is from RNAcentral. Lineage: Eukaryota; Viridiplantae; Streptophyta; Magnoliopsida; Brassicales; Brassicaceae.